This 65-nucleotide transfer RNA is filed under the name Dipodomys ordii (Ord's kangaroo rat). It matches the Rfam family "tRNA". From Rfam's summary of the family: Transfer RNA (tRNA) molecules are approximately 80 nucleotides in length. The record is from Rfam by way of RNAcentral. Lineage: Eukaryota; Metazoa; Chordata; Mammalia; Rodentia; Heteromyidae.
GGUGGCUUAGUGGUAAAGUGCUUGCCUUGCAUGUAUGAGGGUCUGUGUUCAAUUUCUCAGCACCA